This 432-nucleotide ribosomal RNA is filed under the name uncultured Alphaproteobacteria bacterium. RNAcentral describes it as "bacterial SSU rRNA". It matches the Rfam family "Bacterial small subunit ribosomal RNA", at positions 85 to 537 of the family's 1533-position model. The record is from RNAcentral. Lineage: Bacteria; Pseudomonadati; Pseudomonadota; Alphaproteobacteria.
AGCGCGCCUUCGGGUGAGCGGGGACGGUAUACGCGUGGGAACGUCCUUCUCUACGGAAUAGCCUCUGGAAACGGAGAGUAAUACCGUAUACGCCCUUUGGGGGAAAGAUUUAUCGGAGAAGGAUCGGCCCUGCGCUUUUUAGAUUAGUGUACGUUGGUAGGGGGUUAAACCGGCGGCCUACCAAGCCUACGAUCUAUAGCUGGUUUUAGAGGAUGAUCAGCAACACUGGGACUGAGACACGGCCCAGACUCCUACGGGAGGCAGCAGUGGGGAAUCUUAGACAAUGGGGGCAACCCUGAUCUAGCCAUGCCGCGUGAGUGAUGAAGGCCUUAGGGUCGUAAAGCUCUUUCGCCUGUGAUGAUCAUGACAGUAGCAGGUAAAGAAACCCCGGCUAACUCCGUGCCAGCAGCCGCGGUAAUACGGAGGGGGUUA